Molecule: transfer RNA, 78 nt
Filed under: Enterocloster asparagiformis
Lineage: Bacteria; Bacillati; Bacillota; Clostridia; Lachnospirales; Lachnospiraceae
Also listed under: 3 other names
Description: [Clostridium] asparagiforme tRNA-Pro
Rfam family: tRNA
About the family: Transfer RNA (tRNA) molecules are approximately 80 nucleotides in length. Their secondary structure includes four short double-helical elements and three loops (D, anti-codon, and T loops).
Source: RNAcentral
CGGGGUGUGGCUCAGCUUGGCUAGAGCGCCUGGUUUGGGACCAGGAGGUCGCAGGUUCGAAUCCUGUCACCCCGACGA